GUUUGGAGGUUGUUCAACAGCUUUUAAUGGUGGUUUUGAGCUGAAGAAAAUGGUGUGGUUUCAGCAGGUUGUGGGGUCGAUUUAAACGGCUAUUUCAGAUCAAUCGAUUUGAGGCUGGUGUAGCCGGGUUGGAAGAUGACGGCAGGGGCGUGAAAAGGAUGGGGCCUUGGAGAAUAUUUCGGCCGCUGCUCCCUUUCUCCAUUCCUUUUGCUUGUUGCCGUUGUCUCUCUCUCUUCUGAAGAGAGAGUGACGAUGGAGAAGGUCUCACUGUUCGUCUUCAAGUGAACUAGAGAAAUGCGGCUUGAAGUUUUCAGGGUUCUGGGUGAACGGUUUUUGGCGCGAAGAAGAACGCAG
This 354-nucleotide long non-coding RNA is filed under the name Nicotiana benthamiana. RNAcentral describes it as "long non-coding RNA (NBEN_LNC014005)". The record is from RNAcentral. Lineage: Eukaryota; Viridiplantae; Streptophyta; Magnoliopsida; Solanales; Solanaceae.